Molecule: long non-coding RNA, 411 nt
Filed under: Rosa chinensis
Lineage: Eukaryota; Viridiplantae; Streptophyta; Magnoliopsida; Rosales; Rosaceae
Description: sRNA RchiOBHm_Chr2g0098391
Source: RNAcentral
GGCACGGAAUAAGCGCCUUGGUGCUGUGAUUGUUUGACGCCGGAAUCGCUUUCCAAUCCGAUGCGCUUUGGACGAGGCCGGUGGGAUGGCGGCGCUAUUGAGGUCUAGCACAACGGGAUCUGUGUGAUGCAAGCGGGGGAUUUGCUGGUUGUGGAUUAAUUGCAGCGACUUCUUCAUGGUCGUGUGUGGAUACUGAGUUUGUCUCUUUUAGCUAGGCAGAGGGCGGUGGUUCCUCGUUCUUCUGGAUUGGGUCGGACACAGUGUGCAGGAGGCGGUGUAUGGCAGCUGGCGUCUUGACGGCUGCUGGUUGGGUGUGUGUUCAUGAGGGCGGUGAUUUGGGCUAGGGGUCGUCAACGGGCCGGGUCGGGCCCGGCCCGGCCCAUUCAUAGCGGGCUCGGGCCGGGCCGGGCC